RNAcentral lists this long non-coding RNA (507 nucleotides) under Homo sapiens (human). Its description in RNAcentral is "non-protein coding lnc-PARD3-2:2". The record is from RNAcentral. Lineage: Eukaryota; Metazoa; Chordata; Mammalia; Primates; Hominidae.
GUUGCAGUUGAGCCCAAACUGAAUGCUGUCUGUAGAAGGAAACAACAAACUUUGUACUUUAUGUACAGAGUAACAUGGUCAACUUUUUGGCUUAGAUUUCAACACUACACUUGCACAAUGUCUUUGAAACCAAGAGUAGUAGAUUUUGAUGAAACAUGGAACAAACUUUUGACGACAAUAAAAGCCGUGGUCAUGUUGGAAUACGUCGAAAGAGCAACAUGGAAUGACCGUUUCUCAUUCAUUAUCUUUACCUUGGAGACACUUGGUGGUGGUCAUCGUACUGAUAAGAUGGCAUAGCUUUAUCAUGGAACAGUCUGGAGUAUAACCACCAGGAGGUCCUGACCUCUGUGUUGCUCUGGUGUCAUUGUUCCUGUGGACAAAUGAGCUGUUACCUCCAAAAUGCCUUGUCACAGUAGUUGGAGGCAGCAUAUGAAACACCUAGUUCCCAGAAUCAUAAUCUAAUACCGUGUCUGGCCCCAAAGUUAUAAAUGGGCUUUGCCUUAAGUC